RNAcentral lists this ribosomal RNA (253 nucleotides) under uncultured bacterium. RNAcentral's name for it is "partial 16S ribosomal RNA". It matches the Rfam family "Bacterial small subunit ribosomal RNA", at positions 524 to 776 of the family's 1533-position model. The record is from RNAcentral.
UACAGAGGUCUCAAGCGUUGUUCGGAUUCAUUGGGCGUAAAGGGUGCGUAGGCGGCGCGGUAAGUCGGGUGUGAAAUCUCGGAGCUUAACUCCGAAACUGCAUUCGAUACUGCCGUGCUUGAGGACUGGAGAGGAGACUGGAAUUUACGGUGUAGCGGUGAAAUGCGUAGAUAUCGUAAGGAAGACCAGUGGCGAAGGCGGGUCUCUGGACAGUUCCUGACGCUGAGGUGCGAAAGCGUGGGGAGCAAACAGG